UACGUAGGGGGCAAGCGUUGUCCGGAUUUACUGGGCGUAAAGAGCGUGUAGGCGGCCACGCAGGUCCGUUGUGAAAACUGGAGGCUCAACCUCCAGCUGUCGACGGAAACCGUGUGGCUAGAGUCCGGAAGAGGAGAGUGGAAUUCCUGGUGUAGCGGUGAAAUGCGCAGAUAUCAGGAAGAACACCAAUGGCGAAGGCAGAUCUCUGGGACGGUACUGACGCUGAGACGCGAAAGCGUGGGGAGCGAACAGG
RNAcentral lists this ribosomal RNA (253 nucleotides) under uncultured bacterium. RNAcentral describes it as "partial 16S ribosomal RNA". It matches the Rfam family "Bacterial small subunit ribosomal RNA", at positions 524 to 776 of the family's 1533-position model. The record is from RNAcentral.